UACGGAGGGUGCAAACGUUGCUCGGAAUCACUGGGCGUAAAGCGCGCGUAGGCGGCCCAAAGUAAGGUGAUGUGAAAGCCCUGGGCUCAACCCAGGAAGUGCAUUCAAAACUAUUGGGCUUGAAUCUCGGAGGGGGCCAGAGAAUUCCCGGUGUAGAGGUGAAAUUCGUAGAUAUCGGGAGGAAUACCAGUGGCGAAGGC
RNAcentral lists this ribosomal RNA (200 nucleotides) under uncultured bacterium. Its description in RNAcentral is "partial 16S ribosomal RNA". It matches the Rfam family "Bacterial small subunit ribosomal RNA", at positions 524 to 722 of the family's 1533-position model. The record is from RNAcentral.